RNAcentral lists this ribosomal RNA (459 nucleotides) under uncultured bacterium. RNAcentral describes it as "partial 16S ribosomal RNA". It matches the Rfam family "Bacterial small subunit ribosomal RNA", at positions 338 to 795 of the family's 1533-position model. The record is from RNAcentral.
CCUACGGGAGGCAGCAGUGAGGAAUAUUGGUCAAUGGGCGAGAGCCUGAACCAGCCAAGUCGCGUGAGGGAUGAAUGCCCUAUGGGUUGUAAACCUCUUUUGCACGGGGGGAACAAGCUUCACGAGUAGAGUGAUGACAGUACCAUACGAAUAAGCAUCGGCUAACUCCGUGCCAGCAGCCGCGGUAAUACGGAGGUUGCGAGCGUUAUCCGGAUUUAUUGGGUUUAAAGGGUGCGUAGGCGGCAUUAAAAGUUAGUGGUAAAAUCUUGGGGCUAAACCUCGCUACGCAAUUGAUACUGUAGGGCUAGAGAACAGACGAGGCAGGCGGAAUUAGUGGUGUAGCGGUGAAAUGCAUAGAUAUAACGAAGAACACCGAUAGCGAAGGCAGCUUGCCGGACUGAGACUGACGCUGAGGCACGAGGGCGUGGGUAGCGAACAGGAUUAGAUACCCUAGUAGUC